AUUGAACGCUGGCGGAAUGCUUUACACAUGCAAGUCGAACGGCAGCACGGGAGCUUGCUCCUGGUGGCGAGUGGCGAACGGGUGAGUAAUAUAUCGGAACGUAUCCAAUAAGUGGGGGAUAACUAGUCGAAAGAUUAGCUAAUACCGCAUACGCCCGUACGGGGAAAGCUGGGGAUCGUAAGACCUGGCGUUAAUGGAGCGGCCGAUAUCUGAUUAGCUAGUUGGUGGGGUAAAGGCCCACCAAGGCGACGAUCAGUAGCUGGUCUGAGAGGACGACCA
RNAcentral lists this ribosomal RNA (279 nucleotides) under uncultured bacterium. Its description in RNAcentral is "partial 16S ribosomal RNA". It matches the Rfam family "Bacterial small subunit ribosomal RNA", at positions 30 to 306 of the family's 1533-position model. The record is from RNAcentral.